UACCUCUUCACAACACAUUGCUAAUCAGUUGAAAGCAUCAAACGGAGACAGCAUAUGCCUUAUCCCAUACAACACUGGUUUGCAGGUUGUGUGAAGAACCAGUACUAUACGCAGACACAAUAUGAUGAAGUGAGAAUUGAAUGGAGUGAAUUUGUGUACUCGUAUUUGAAGUGAAUUACAAGUUGUGUGAAUGAACCAGUACAUGUUUUUGGUUUUUUAUAGCU
Long non-coding RNA from Zingiber officinale, 224 nucleotides. RefSeq lists it as uncharacterized. The record is from RefSeq and is a predicted model, not a curated record. The transcript has 2 exons. Lineage: Eukaryota; Viridiplantae; Streptophyta; Magnoliopsida; Zingiberales; Zingiberaceae.